Molecule: long non-coding RNA, 1548 nt
Organism: Ornithodoros turicata
Lineage: Eukaryota; Metazoa; Arthropoda; Arachnida; Ixodida; Argasidae
Exons: 2
Source: RefSeq, a predicted model, not a curated record
GAGUCCACAUUGGUAAUUGUCUUCCAUCUUUUUUUCAACUCAUCGGGUAUAGCUGUUUUACACCCAAUGCGCUUCUUCUUUAAUUGAGUGAUAGUUACCUCAAGUUCCAAAACAUCCCUGGAAACAAACCCACUACCAACUCGUUGAUAGUUUUCCAGGUUUUGUGAGAGUUCAGAAAAGCUCUCAUUUAGUGCAAUCAUUAUAUCUGAAAGAUUAUGUAUCUCUUGUGAUGUUGUUGGUAUGUAUGCGAUGUUAGUUGUGAUAUUGUCACCUACUUCUUUCACCAUAUGCAAAGUUAGUCGCAUAUAAAAUCGGAAUGGUAUACACUGAUCCUGCAACAUUCUCACUAUAUCAUGCUGAUACAAAAGAACAUAAUCGAUCGGAUCUUCCACACUGUCAUCAUGUGGAGAAGCAAACAGCACAAAACAUCUAUUAUGACCACCAAAUGCACUCUGAGUUAGAAAGAAUGGUAGGUAUGGAACUUCAACGCCGGGGUGGGCACCUCUAAUAUGUUCUGAGAGCUCUUGUACCUGAUCGACAUUUGGCUCUGGUGGUAAUGGGUUGUUUAAUUCGGCAAAAUUGUCAUUUUGAAUGGCAUCUAUUGGAGUAUCCGAAUCAAACAGACCAUCAUUCAGUAACAUAUUAAAAUCCAAUUCCCACUCCGGAUGAUUCGCUUCCACACCACCAGCAUCAAUUUGCAAAGCUUGCUCCCUCUCCUCAAUACGUUGUAUUAAUUGAUCAAUACCAUCAUACCCACAAAUUCCACAGCGAGGCACUAAAUAAAAAAAAGAAAAUGGAAAGGUCUCAGUUAUAAUAUCUGAAGAUAAAUCAAGAAAAAUACUCACUCUCAGCAGGUCUAGUAGGAAACUUUGGGGGGGAGGCAGCACACCAAACAAGCUUUGGUCUCGAACUUGAGCAGGAGGCAGCACACCAAACAAAAUUUGGCCUGGAACUUGAGCAGGAGGGUAGCACACCAAACAAAAUUUGGCAGGCAAAAUGAAACAAGCACUGCAACCAGGGCAACAGAACUUGUUGGAGAAACACUGCACGCAAUGCUCGAAUUUAUAGGGUGAAAAUGUUGAUGUGGGGGCGGGCUAGAGAAAUCCACAUGUAGCAAAAGUCUUUGUAGUAAACAACCAAUUGCAAACUAAGGAAAAACGCAACCAAUAGGGAAAGUAUGCACAUCCUCUCCAUCGGAUUCCUUUUCAACAUCCCCCUCACAGUCGACGAUGGAAGCGCAGAAGUGCUACGCGGUCUCCGAGGACGAUUAUUCUGAUUGUCUCCUGACGGGGGAUCUUCCUCUUGUGAAGACAUUGAAGCCACCACCCAGAACUUUCUUUAUACAAUAUGAUGAGCAUCUGCGACGCUGUCGUUGUGGUGGAUUGUGGUCAUCGAAUCCAUCUCAUUGGCUAGACAAUAACAUCCGACCUUAUCUCGGUUGCCAUCCAAGCUCGGAUCAACCAUGAAGCCCAGUGAACGAUUUGCUUUGACGGUACAAUGGCUGAUGUACAAGGAUUUGAUGAAAUUAAACUCCUAUCUGAACUGCAA